UCAGGUGGUUCGUGUCAAGAGUUUUCAAGAACGAAGAAUCGAAUUUUAAUUGUAGUAAGAUAAUUGGGCUAGACUAAUGGUUUCCUGGGCUAUUCUAGCCUCAAGUUGGUGUAUUUGUAUGUUUUACUUGAGUUUAAGUCUACGGGGUGGGGUUGUAUUACUGGAGUUUGGUUGCUUGGAUGUAGGCUUAAUUUCCGCCGCCUCCAUUCCUGGAAUUUUUCCCUUUCUUUCUAUCCUUUUCUUUCUUGGCUUUGGCCUAUACUUCAUUCCAUUUGUCACAAAAAAUUGGAUUUUUGCUGAUGAAUACCCUUCUAAAUAUCGAAUUUUGUACGAAUACCCUUCCAAAAUUAAUAUUUGCAUGUAUACCUUCAUAAAACAUUUGUUUUACUAUUCUAUCCUUUUUUAAUCUUUGUUUUUGCAUAUGUACCCAUGCCAUCUACGUCAUUAAAAAAUUAAUGGUUUCAAAUUAAAAUGACUAAAAUAUCUAUAAUAGGUAGAUGUGUAAAAAAUAUAUAUUUAUAAGUCAUCUGUGAUGAAGAACAAAAAAAUAAUUUCAAAAUUUUAUUUUACUUUUAAUUAAAAUAAAUAUGGUUUUUAUUAAUGGUGUUAGAAGAACCGUUAUGUUAAGGGCAUUUUGUACAAAAACAGUGUUUUAUGAGGGUACAGAAAUAAAUAUAAAUUUUAAAAAAGUAUUCAUGCAAAUUUGAAUUUUUAGAAAGAUAUUCAUGCAAAAAAUCCAAAAAAAUUAUGGUGAGUUUCUAAUAAUU
This 767-nucleotide long non-coding RNA is filed under the name Phoenix dactylifera (date palm). RNAcentral's name for it is "long non-coding RNA (PDAC_LNC002622)". Lineage: Eukaryota; Viridiplantae; Streptophyta; Magnoliopsida; Arecales; Arecaceae. The record is from RNAcentral.